This 301-nucleotide ribosomal RNA is filed under the name uncultured bacterium. RNAcentral's name for it is "partial 16S ribosomal RNA". It matches the Rfam family "Bacterial small subunit ribosomal RNA", at positions 509 to 807 of the family's 1533-position model. The record is from RNAcentral.
CAGCAGCCGCGGGAAUACGAAGGGGGCUAGCGUUGUUCGGAAUUACUGGGCGUAAAGCGCACGUAGGCGGAUAUUUAAGUCAGGGGUGAAAUCCCGCAGCUCAACUGCGGAACUGCCUUUGAUACUGGGUAUCUUGAGUAUGGAAGAGGUUAGUGGAAUUGCGAGUGUAGAGGUGAAAUUCGUAGAUAUUCGCAGGAACACCAGUGGCGAAGGCGGCUAACUGGUCCAUAACUGACGCUGAGGUGCGAAAGCGUGGGGAGCAAACAGGAUUAGAGACCCCAGUAGUCCCUGUCUCUUAUAC